AAGAUUGGACUGCUAGUGAAGAACAGAAUGACACUGCAGAAAGAGAACUGCAGCAGAAACAUCAAGGCUUCAAGUGUUUUAAAAACAAAGCACCAGAAAAAAACCCACUCGGGACCAAGGGAAAGCAAUAGAUGGAUGUUGUUUCUCAUAGCAAAAAUCUUAGCAAGGAGAACAAGGAACAGCUCUGUGACGUGAUGACGCUGAACGAGCAAAAGG
Molecule: long non-coding RNA, 216 nt
Organism: Tympanuchus pallidicinctus (lesser prairie-chicken)
Lineage: Eukaryota; Metazoa; Chordata; Aves; Galliformes; Phasianidae
Exons: 3
Source: RefSeq, a predicted model, not a curated record